UCAUACCCAGAAGUAUGAAGAGAAUGAAGCUAGAGGAAGUAGUGGUUGGUGAGUCAGCAUGAGUAAUUUUGUUCCAAUGAGAAUGAAGACUGAGGGUUUUUUUUUCCCUCUUAAACAUUUUGGACAUCAUUGCUUAAUGGAGGGAAAUAAGCGAUAUUAUGUCUGUGUAGCUAGUACUUCUUGAUUUUUAAAUCAAAAGAAAAAAUAUUUAGAAUCUAGAUAUGUGUCUUCAUAGGCACCCUCCUCGUAGGAAAGUGAGGGGGAAAACAGCUCCUGCUUGUCCAGAUGAGAGAAAGCCACAUUGCAUUCUAUUGCAUCAUACAAUGCAAGUCGUGGGCUCACCAGCACAAUGAUUACUGUCCAGACACAGCUGAGAUUCAGAAGAGGCCCUUCCACACUCCAGCAGGAGCCUGGGAUUUCGAAUCGUCAUGGACUGGUCAAAGAAGAAGCGUUUCUGUGACGAACUUAGGGUGGACAUCCUGGAGACGGCCAACCAAAGGGGAAAGGAGUCUCAGCAAGUGGAAAGGCAGCAGAGCACUGGGGCAGAGCUGCGGUGUGGGAGGAGAGACUGCCUCUGGAGCAGGACUGCAGCAAAAAGACCUUUUUGAGGGGCUGCUUGCACUAAUGGCCACAAGGCUUCUGCCCCAUGUUCCGAGUGCCCUCCAGAGUGCCAUGUCUUGUGGGCCAGGAAUGCAUUGGACAAUACCAUGGUCCGAUGACCCCUGCUGCUUGGACAGGGUAAAUUACUCCUGGCAGUCCUCACCCCCUCGCAGCCCUCCAUGCACCUUCAGCAGCUCCACGUAGGUGGUAGAAAUGAGGAGGAGAAAGGGAGCUCUGGGCCAUGCAAAGGCUGCAGCACUUCGAACCCUUCCACCCGGUAGGAUAACACGGGCACUUCGUUUUUAUGGACUUCCAACUUCAGAGUCCGUGGCCUGCAGCUCGAAGAUUGGUUGCCUUGCCCGGCAAGUCGCUUGGGAGCCUGGGGUACAGACAAGGUAAUGGUGUGUUAGGAAUAUGAGGAACUGCUGGAUUUUAUAAGAAAGGAGCCCAAGGCUGCUGGAUUUGAGUUGGCUGCUGGCAUCUCCCUGCUAGGAGAGGCAGUUUUUGUUUUCGAAUGCUCCAGGAAGUGCUGGAAAACGUCUUGUUAAUUAGCUUCAUUUAAUAUACACAUUUUAACAGUCAAGGAACUUCAAAGCCGCUCUGACCAGAGCUAAGCCGAUGACACAUGCCUCAAGCAGCUUGUAACUGGAGCCUGAAUCUCAAGCAGAAUGGGAUAAAAUGGCUUUUCCCCUGGUCAGUCUGGGGGCAGGUUUGAGAUGAGCCAUUCCACCAAGGCAGGAAGACAUCACAGAAUCGUUCCUGGGGAAGCCUGGGGAGAGUGGUGAGGAAGAUGGGCACUAGCCUGACCCAGGUCUGCACUCUCAAUCCUAUGUCACUCAGGGGUGUGAAAAAUCCACCCCUGUGGGACAGCGGCAAGCCGGCCUCACCCCCACUGUAGGCUGCGCUAGGUCGAUGGAAGAAUUCUUCCACUGGCCUAGUGAUGCUCUCAGGAGGUGGAUUCCCUGUAGUGACAAGAGCACCCCUCUUGUCGCUGUAGCAAGCAGCUAUGCCAAAGCACUACAGCAGCACAGCUGUCACCUGGGUUCAACUCCCUGCUCUGCCACAGACUUUCCGUGUGACCCUGGGCAAGUCAUUUAGUUUCUUGGUGCCUCUGCUCCCCAUGUGUGAAGUGAGGAUACCAGCACUGCCCUGCCUCACAGGGACAUUGAGAGAAUAAAUAUAUUCUCGAUGGCGAAAUGUUCAAAUUCUGCGGUGGUGGGGCCCAGCUAACUGACAGGUAGAUAGAUAAGCACCGUGCUGCCAUCAUAGAAUGGUAACUCUGUAUUUUCUCUCUCUGUGGUACGACGAGAGAAGCGGUUGUUGUAGUAGCUAGGUACUAAGCAGGGUGAAAAAAGGGGACGAGAUGGGGCCCUGUCAGUGCUGCUUAGGAAUUCUGGGUGAUGCUAUGACAUUUGGUGUGACAGAUCCUGCAACCGCAUGCAAUAGCAAUAUUGUACUAAGUUAAUUAUCACUAUGGGACAGGGAUUGUUGCAACUUCAUGGGGCAGAAUUACCAGACUCCUCCAGGAACUAAACACGGGGGGUGUGAUUAAGGUGAGAUGCUGAGAGCAAACAAUGCUAGCAAGGCACCACUUCCUGACCUGGUUUGCAGAUCCUGCUUCACGCUGGGUUUCCCUGAGACUAGGAGAAGAAAGGGUUUUGGGUAUGAACUUGAAUUGACACAGAGCCUGCUGAUCCGGCAGCCGGACAGGACUGCCUGUCCAAGGGUUGGAAAGACUUUGUCCAACUAAAGCCCCGUGAGGCAAGGUGAGCUUUUCGCAUGUGUACAGGAACUCGGACUAGUUUUUAUGUUUUCUCUGUAAUGCUUUUCCCUGAAGAAUAAAUGUGCUUGCUUAGAAGGAGCUGGGUGGUAACUUCUGGCAAUACUCACCAUCGUCCUCGGAGCAAAAGCAACUCGCAGGCACCGGCUUUUAGGCAGACUGGCUUGCUGGGCAUAGCACAGUGGAAGACAAUGCCAUGCAGCAUGAAAACCUCUGGUCAGAAGGGAGAGAGAUGUGGGUCCCUGCCCAAAUGAGGUGAUGGCUGGGAGCCAGAAACCGUAAGUGGGUGCCCUCAAGGGACCACAGAGGGGAAAUAGGGGCACAGGUACGCUGAAAGUGUGACAAAUGUACUGUGAAAUUACCAUGCCUUGGAAAGCCUAUAGAUCUAUAUUGUGGCUGCACCAUUGCUGACUGACAGGACUGCAGUAGGCGUACACCAGAGACGGGACAAUAGGGGAGGCUUAAUGUUAAUGACAGUACUUUGACCAUACAAAAGUUAUGUGAAACAGUGACAGCAUUCUAGGGGGAAAGCAGGUUUAUCCAGCCUCAUUGAGGGGAAGGUUUUUUUGAGCUGAGGAAAGUUACCAAAGAGACAGAACACAGGAAGCCAAGUGUUGCAAGGGGAACAUAUAGAGAGCCCCAUGGAGGAACUGUGGGGCAUGGAGAGAAGAAGGGAGAAAGACUCCAUGAGGGAGAAGACAUCCAGCAAUGUAACAGCCUGCAUGCGGCAAGGAAUCCCAAGGGAAGGGGGACCUAGCGAGGUGCAGUGCGGGUAGGAGGUUUGGUUUUUAAAUGAUCUGUACACUCUUGUGUUUGAUAUGACGAGGUUAAAAAAGAAUUGUGUUAGAUUCUGGGUGAAGUGUCUCUUUAUUUAAAUGUUACCCUACUGCUGUGUUCCCCUGGUCACCCAGAAGGCUCCCACCCUGAGGUGGAGUUCCAGAGGAGCGUGUGUGAAGACAGGGCAGUCUGAUCGGCCAGGGGCUGAGCAGCAGGAUCCGCUCUUAGGAGGGAGUGUUUGACUGCAGGUCUGCACCCCAAGAUGGGGCCAGGGGCUGGAUGCUGCUCAGACUCAGAGGCUCGGCUCAACUCGGCUUCCCCUCCCAGCACUCCAGGGAGCACCUCACCAGAAACAGCACUGGCUUCUGCUCUUCGCCUUCUGGCAGCCUGCGUUUCCUUUCAUGUAAGCACUGUGGUUCCUUUAUUGUGGGCUGGCGUUGGCACGAGAGUGUUUCCCGCUGGACACGCGGGAGGUCGCACAGCAGCGCGUUCUGAGCUGAGACGGAGCAUUCCACAGCUUAGUAGCCAGCACUGGACACGCUCAGGUCGGCUCCUGAGUCUCGUGUGCUAUGUUUCUUCUUGCCAUGCCCUCAGUUAGCACAGUUGUCCCCUGCAUUAAUCUGGCUCAGCUGCCAGUGGGAUUUCACAGAUUAAUAGAUUUUUAGUCCAGAAGCGGCUAUCAUAAUAACCCAGCCUGACCACAAGUCCUAGAACGUCCCUGGCUUGAUUUCUGCUUUGGUGCCAAGAACUGUGCUUCAACCUAAUUGAUCUUUUAGAAGAAACUCCCAGUUUGGUUUUAAAAUUGCCAGUGAUUGAGAAUUCACUGCCAGCAGGGGAUGACUCUACCGAGGGGUUAACGUGUGCUUUGUUUCCAGUUUGUCUCCCUCCCACUUGCAGCCUUGGGAUCUUGUUGUACCUUUGUCUGCUAGACUGAAGAGCCACCUGUUAGCCUCGUGUAGCCACUUAGAGCCCAGUCAAUUUUCCCCUUAACCUAAGGCAGGUUCUCUAAUCCUUCAAUCAUCCCUGUGGCUCCUCUCCAAUUUAUCAAUAUCCCUCUUAAAUUGUGGACACCAGGAUUGGCACAGAAUUGCACCAGCGGUUGCAUCCGUGCCAAACACAGAGGUAAAAUCACCUCUCGCCGCCUACUCCAGAGUCCCCUGUUUAUACCUCCCAGGAUCCCAUUACCGUUUGGCCCCUGUGUUGCUCUUGGAGCUCAUGUUCAGCUGAUUCUCCACGUCGACCCCAAAGUCCUGGUCUGAAUCCCUGCUUCCCAGGCUAAUGUGUCCCCUCACCCUGGAGGUGUGGCCGACAUUCUUUGUUCCUAUUUAAACACGAAGGCCCAGAUGCUCUGAAGCAUUUAGGUGCCUAACUCCCCUGGGUCCAGUCCCCGCUGUGGAAGCCUGCACCUGUUAGCUGCACCUUUUACCAGCAAUGGUGCUGUUUCCUGAGUCCUGGGGCUUGAGCCCAUGUGAUUUCUCACAUGCUACCGCUGGCCUCCCCUGUGACAUUCAGCCCAUUGCUCAUACUUCUAAUGUUACUUCUCUUGAGAUGUGACAGCAAAGAACUCCCUUCGCCUCCUCCGGGUGAGCUCUGCUGCAUCAGACAGGUGAUCAGUUUCUCCUCCUACGCAUGUCACACUGGACUUUUAACUAAGGGGGGGGGUUAUUAAGUGUCACUUUUAGCCUUAUCAGGAUGAUUGCCAGCCGAGGGCCUCGUGAGCAGCUCUAGGUAUUUUGUAUCUUACUGAAGCUUUGUUAUCAACCAACCCAGGCUCAGUGCAGGUCAGUGAAUGAGGUGUCUGGGAGCUCGUCAGGACUCUGCUAGCAGGGCAGUCGUCCCAGCACAGAAAACACAGGAAAAGGCCAUCCAGCUCCUGAAGCAGCCCCAAGAGAUACAGCCCCAUCAGCUAGUCAACUGUCCCAGCUAGUGGAAGCCAAGACCUCCCUGACACAACUGUUGCCAGGGGCUGGGAGGGGCUCCAGUCAUUUUUUUUAUGAAUCGUCCUGCCUCAUUUCUCUCUCUCUCUUCACCUCUGUACGUCUCCGCAGUCCUGCUGCUGCUGGGGACAGCUCUCCAGAGAAUUCAUUGCAAGAGUCACUCUGCACAGCCAUCACCUCAGUCUCACGCUGGGGAGCAGCUCUCCUAUUCAGCAACAUUCAAGACCUGUAGCCCAGCCAGGACCACAGCAAUGUCCUUGAUGUCUGAGCAGGGCCUCUGACCGUGCUGCAGUGACUAUGGGUCUGUAACGAUGGGGGAGAACUGUAGCCAGAGCAGAGAGUGUUCAGUGGGGUGGAGGAUGGCAACAGCCCUUAACAUACAGGGGGACAGGUGAGUCAUCAAACCAUCAGCCCCAGGGGGUAGGCCCUGAACAGGACCGACAUCCACUGAAGCAGCUGAGUCUAGGAACAGGACCUGCAUGGCUCUCUCUGCCUCCUGCCAGAACCAGCUUUCAACCGUCUGCCCCCGACUGAGGGAUGUCCCUGGCUGGACAGGGGUUGCCUUUUCCAGCAACAGGUCCAAUUCACUCCCCUGUGCCUUCCUCCCUACUCCACAUUGAUCCCCAGGGCUUCCACAAGGCUUGCAGGAGAGGGGAUUCAGGUCUGCUGUCCAAACAGGGGCCCGUUCACCCCACAGUCAGGUUUGUGAGGAGCAAACCUUGAAAUAACUAGGGCUCUUGGCAGGUGGCUGAUGCUGCUCCAGGCUAGAAAGCAUUCUGCCUCUGGGGAUACGUUUUCAGCUUUGUGUAGUGCUCUGGAGUACAAGGGCAAACUCUGCUCCUUUGUACCAGGUCUUGCAGCUUCUGUGGCUAGUGCUAGAGCCAUGUUUCUGCACACAGACGGCGUGGCUCAGCAGUAAGAGCUUAGGGGAUGUUGCUUUCCCACCACCAUACAGCCAUUACAACCAAUUUUGGCAAACUCUGUGUGGAAUAUCCCUCUCCUUGGACCCACGCUGAGGUGCUUCCUAGGCCAUUCAGCUCAUAAACCCCCUGCCAGCUGUAGCCUGAGUGUCCAGGGAACAUUACCUGGCCGGGGAGAGUGAGCUAGCUACUGCUAGUCCGUUUUGUCUUGGUUUUAGCUUGACUCUUAGAUUGAUUUCACAGGACCCUGGCCAGUAGCCUCCUUUCCUUUUGCCUUAAGCCAGGCUCAGACACAGCUUGGCAUCCCUCAGUUGGUAGAGCCCCGAAGUCUCACCGUCGUGGCCUGCAUGCUGACUGCAGAGAAGGGCAGGCCUUGUCCCUCCGGGCUUUGCCAAGUGUCUCAGGCAUCACAGCCUCUGUCUGGCUCAACAGCAAAUCCGCUUUUGGCCAGGAAAUCACCCAGCUAGUGCUUGUAGGUCUGACCCCCACACUGGCAGGGCACCACCAGCCAAAACCUACUCAGAGCCCUUCCCAGAACCAAUUUAGCUCAGGUCAAAGUUCACAUUGUUUUUACUCUUCUCAUUCAGCUGAUUCUCCUAUGACUUCAGUCCCUCAUCUCAUCUCCCCGCUCAGUGUCCCUUUGCACAGUCUAUGCUGAGGCCCUUCACCCUGUACCUCCUUUACACAUUAUCUCUGGCUGCCUGCCUCUGUGCAAGCGACUUCCAAACCUGCCAGCUCAUGCCUGCCCUCGGCCCAUCAGUGCAUGCUUGCGGCUCUGUCCUCUCAGCCUGAAUGACCCCCGCCCCCUCAAUUCUCAUUUUUCAUCCACAAAAUGACUUCUCCCUGUCACCCCACAUGCUGGCUGUUGCCAACUCCUGUUCACCAUCUUCCACGUCUACUCCACACCCCAUGAUUCCUAUUGCUGGAAUGCUUUGCCAUGCCGGCAUCUUCUCUGCACCAGGGCUUGCUCCCUUCCUGCCUCUGCAUGUUACCUACCUCCAUCCUGCCACUUUCUGACACCUGUCACUGAUCACUUCACAUUCCCCAGCAAGGCCAAGCUCAGCAGCAUCCUUUCAAGAUCUUCCUUCACCCGUAUGGCUCAGGACUCACAUCACCCUCAUGCCCGUCCCUUCAAAGGCUCCCACAUAACCACGGUUUCCUUCUCCCACUUUUGGCUUUGGACUUUCGUACCUGAAACCCCUCAGGGCACCUCUGACAUUCCUAUUCCUCCCUACAAUCCACUGCCGAAAACCAAACACUGCCUCUUCCUUUGUUGUAUAAAAUCCUUGUCAUGGUCACUUGCAGUAUAAAAAAAUUUGAGACUCUAGUGCUGCCUCUCUGCAAGACGCUGGGACCCCCCGUGUUGCAGCCCCAUCCUUUCUUCACCUUCCUCCAGCCAACACGAUCUAGAAUUACUCCUGGAGCUAAAUUCAGGCUUUAGCUUGGUCAGGAGACUCCCCUGGGUGGAGCUCUGAGCCCUUGUAGUGCUCAGCAGGGACUUGGGCUGUGUCUAUCUUUGCUGUACAGGCCAUGCCUACCUAGGCUGCAUUUGAUUAUUUCCCCCCAGUGUAUGAACGUGCAGAUUUCAAAGUUGAAUCUUAGUCUCAUUUUCUGCCCAUCUUGCUCAUCACAAGAGCCCAUUUCUACUAAUUGUGUCCUCUAUGGCAUUCACAACUCCCGUAAAAUAAGUGUCAUGUACGAACAUUAUUGAUGCACUCUAGUCCCUCCCCUAGCUCAUUAUGGGCCUGUUCCAAACCCCACUGAACUAUCCUCCCACCUCCCAACCAGCUAUUUAAUUCCAUGCCAGUCCACGGGACAGAACGAGGGUGUUUGAUACUCCACGUGUGCAAGUGGAAGAGCAACGGCUGAAUGCAAACCCACACCUGACUUUGAGAGAGGCAGUGCCACUCGUUCCUCAGGUGAGGUUCUCAUCCACAGUGACGGCAGCAGUCUGUGUACAGAGAAGCGUGUGGGAAUUCAGUGUGCACCAUGGAAACAUUUAACAGAGACAUUCCCAGGGUAUGGUUGAAAUGUGGUAUGAAAAGUGUGCUCUUCCAACCUCCAUCGCCAAUAAGGACAUGGAAACUGCUUAAAUUACGCAAGGUUAAAAUGCCUGGGAAAGUGAGUGGUACCUGCACAGGUAUCAGUGACCGAUAAUUAAAGCCCCAUCUACAAUUCCAUACACCUUACCUCAGAAGAGCAUAAAAUGUUGAAUUUGAGCAAAAUAAUACUCAUCACAAAUAGAUGAAAGUUUUAUUUAUAUAAAAUUCAUUAACAUAAAAGAUUGCAUCUUAAAAAAAGAUCUGUAGCUAUGUACAGCAGUAUUGCACAAGUAACGUGGCAAUUACCCUGUCAAAAAUUCAUCAGUGCAAACCACAAGUAAGCCAGGGAAAUUGCAAUAAAAAUGCUACAUAUGCUGGGUCCUAUGAAACAAGUUAGUGAUUAAUCAGUACAUGAUCAGUGCUAUGUUUGUACCUGAUAAGGAGCUUUGCUACAGUAAUGAGUGGUCUUGAAACCAGGAUGCAAAAGUUUACUCUAAAAAUCCAAGUAGAAAGUAGUUCUAUAAAUAACUUGCAGGGGCUUCUUGUUUACGAGGUAACAGCCAUGUCCUGCACUAUGUAAACUGAGGAUAAGGUGUUUAAUAUCCCAAAAGAGGGUUAUUAUUGAGUUACCAGGAAGCACUAUCAAGUUAUCGAACUAAAAUCUACAGCAUAAUUUUUAAUUCUGGCAACUGGCUGAAGCAAUGAAGUGAGGCAGCCAGAUUCAGUAGGAGCACAGGGAGGGUGAAAUCUGAAGGCAGUGGAGAACGAGAAGGUGGGGGAUUGGCACAUUGUUCAGGUCUUGAAAAAGUGAGAAUACUGCACUUCAGUUUACUAAUAUGUUUGAAUAAGCUGCCCUUGGCCCCCUUGGGAUGAUAAUGUUUUGCUUAGACCAAUAAAGUUAUUUGUAACAAAUUAAUGCUUUGAGCUACAAAUUGAUUCUGGAUGUGGCUUUGGUGUUUGGCCGAGUUUGCAUCUCCAUAUCAUAUUUUACUUCAACUCUCUGCCUCUAUCUACGGUGCUGAAUCAUUGAGUCCAGAAAGUUAAAUGUGGCCGAAAUGGGGGAUUAAAUUGUGGAUACAAUUUUCAAGAGAGACUUUAGGCGCACAGAAACCCAAGUCCCCUGGACUUUGACUGAGGUACUCCACAGCCUCUUUUGAAAAUGGGACUUAGGAGCCUAAGUCACUUAGGCACUUUUACUCAGUAACUAAACGUUAUUGAUUGCACUGAAUUAGAAGACAGUGCUCUACACUGAUCAAUCACUAAUUCCAUAUAUACCAGUAAAAAUUCAUUAAAAACUUUACAGGAACUUAAAUAAGCAGAAAAUAAAUAUACAACAUUUCUACAAGUUACAGCAUUAUGGAACAGUAGAGUGCAUUAAUUACACAGAAAAAAGAAUCUACAGUAUUUACCAAGUUCAAUUCUAAAAAAGACUUAGAAAAACAGUAAUUUACUUUAUAUGCUGUACAAAACUUUACAUGACAUAGUAAGAAAAGAAAAAACAUUGCACACAGACAUUUGGCUCAGAUAAGAAUAAUAUGAUGCCCUAAUCUAAUAAAUACUCAAAUAUUUACAGUUAUUGAAGGAGAAAAAGCAUAAUACAGUAUCAUACAAGUUUUGUAGGAAAAAUUUGAAUCUGGUUUCUCCACAACCAAAGAAAAUUCUUCAGAAAGCCGUUUUGGCAGGGCAGAGUGUGGAUUGUAUGGAAUU
Long non-coding RNA from Gopherus evgoodei (Goodes thornscrub tortoise), 9763 nucleotides. RefSeq lists it as uncharacterized. The transcript is spliced from 4 exons. Lineage: Eukaryota; Metazoa; Chordata; Testudines; Testudinidae. The record is from RefSeq and is a predicted model, not a curated record.